AGCCUGUGAUGGGGCAGGAUAAGGCCGGCCCCCCUCGGGGCAGCACGUGUGGCACUGAACCUGCUCCUCAUGCUGUGGGGCCACCCAUGUGCCGCUGAACUGACCCUGCCCUGCCCUUUGCACCCAGUGGGGCCUAGGACACGUACUCCUGGGGAGAUUCUGCACCACGACACACAUGCAGAAUUUAUGUCCCCCGCAGAGUUCUUUGCUUCCCCACAGAAAAAAAGACUUUGUGACAGGGAAGCAAAGAGGAGCCACAAGAGCGGUCACAUGACCCUCCCCAGCAGUAUGUCUCGGUCCCCAGGGCAGCCAGCAGAGAGGUUUCUGAAGCUGCUGCCUUCUCAGGUACUCUCUCAAUGGUGCCUGCAUGCUAUAUGGAAUCCUCACCCACUGCCUGGCUGCAGUCCACCCUCGGAGUUUGCUACAGACCUAGUGAUGCAGAGUGCUGAAUGCCCUGGGUUCCCACUGACUAAGCAGAUGCUGGGGAAGCAACACUUGGAGAAUGAGCCUGAGCCAAACAGGCUGGAAGAAUCCAAGCCUUUUCCAAAUACCACUCCACUACAUCAUCAGAUAGGAGAUACCUGCUUCUAGCAAAAGGCCUUCUAGUGUAUGUCACUGUGGACUUGGCUUUGUAUCUUUUUACGGCCAAACAGAAAGGAAACUCCACCUUGGUAAAUCUUUCAGCUCUCUUGGAAAACACCUUUUGGAUCCAAAGGAGACAAAGACGUAGAGCUAAUGAUGGCAGAGUCACAUAGGAAGGUCCAGAAUGGACGGAUACUGGUCAGCGCUGUGACAUUAUGGGGAAGGCAGAGUCUGCAUGCUGGGGAGGGACUAUGCACCCCCAAUUCCCCAUGUCUGAAGGAAAAGAAAAGUCUGUGCAGCUGUAACACAGGUACUCUAGUUUCAUUUGUAAUGAGCUGUAUUGUUACUAUGUAUGCAGAGUCAUAACUAUGACUCCUGAACAUCUAUCAGGGAAAAGGUGAUGUCCCGGCUACAUCCCAAUGAAUACAAAAGGAGCAAGCAGGAUGUGAACGAAAGCCUUCCAUUGACAGGGCGUUUAGAUGAAAUCCUUGAAGUACAAUAUACUUACCAGGCAAGGUUAGAGCUCCAUUUGCCUGUCACUUGCUCAGCCUCUAGCAGAGGGAAGAUGUUUUCUCUCUCCCUGCUUGUUUACAGCUCUCAGAAACCGAGAGCAGUUUAGAUUAGGACAUAGGAUAGACGCUGCUCCCUUCUCCCCUUACGAAACUGCUUUCCACGUAGCUACAGCUAGGAGAGGGCACAUUCUCAGAGAGGGGGUUGGGCUACUGGUGCAGACGCUCUGGGAUGUAUGUAGCAAUCUGAGAUUUGGACAUACGAGGCCUGAGCCAAAGCCCAGUGAAAUCACUGACGAGUUCUGUGGCCUUCGCAGCAGCUUAUGCCCACACAGGCAAUGCCGUUACAUCCCUCGAGUAAAACUAUAUUAUAGAUCAACAUCUUUCACCAUAGAGCUGCCAAUGUAAACAAUGGACAAAAAGUUCUCUCAGUAGAGAAUCUUGGCUCCCAAAUUCUGGCCUCCCUACAGAAUCCCUCUUAUGUCAAUAGGAUAUUGUUGGAGAGAUGAUAGUAAAGAUGUAGCUGAUUGAGCAGUGUGUUGAUAACAGGCAUACCAGACAUCAAGACAAAUAUGAAGAAACAAGCCUGCCAGAUGCCAUGAGAACAGUUUUCCCCAAGGGAUAUUUGUACGCUAUAGUCUACAUCAGGGGUGGGCAAAGCCCGCGGGCCGCAUCCGGCCCACCAGCCAUUUUAAUCCGGCCCUCACGCUCCUGCUGGGGAGCAGGGUCUGGGACUUGCCCCGCUCUGGCGCUCCAGCUGGGGAGCAGGGUUGGGGGCUGCUCCGUGUGGCUCCCGCGAGCAGCGGCGUGUCCCUCCUCCGGCUCCUAUGCGUAGGGGCAGCCAGGGGGCUCCACUCUGCAUGCUGCCUCCGCCCCAAGCGCCGCCCUUGCAGCUCUGGGAACCAGGGCCAAUGGGAGCUGUAGGGGCGGUACCUGCGGAUGGGCAGAGCGCAGCAGAGUCGCCUGGCUGCGCCUCCACGUAGGAGCAACAUGCUGCUGCUUCCGGGAGCCACUUGAGGUAAGCGGUGCCUGGAGCCUGCACCCCUGAGCCACCCCUCCCCACGCCCCAACCCUCUGCCCCAGCCCUGAUCCCCCUCCGAACU
Malaclemys terrapin pileata is the source of this 2194-nucleotide long non-coding RNA. RefSeq lists it as uncharacterized. Lineage: Eukaryota; Metazoa; Chordata; Testudines; Emydidae. The record is from RefSeq and is a predicted model, not a curated record. The transcript is spliced from 3 exons.